AAUAUUGGCCAAUGGGCGACAGCCUGACCCAGCCAUGCGGCGUGAAGGAUGAAGGCCUUCGGGUCGUAAAAUGCAGUCAGUAGGGGCGAUGCGAUUUCGCUCUUGACUGUACCUCCAAAGGAAGCCCCGGUUAAUUCCGUGCCAGCAGCCGCGGUAAUACGGAGGGGGCAAGCGUUGUUCGGAUUUACUGGGCGUAAAGGGUCCGCAGGCGGUUAAGCAAGUUAGAUGUGAAAGCUCAAGGCUCAACCUGGAAAUCGCAUCUAAAACUCCUGGACUAGAGUCCAAGAGGGGCCGGCGGAAUUCCCGGUGUAGCGGUGAAAUGCGUAGAUAUCGGGAGGAGCACCAGUGGCGAAGGCGGCCGACUGGCUUGGAACUGACGCUCAGGGACGAAAGCGUGGGUAGCGAACCGGAUUAGAUACCCGGGUACUCCACGCCCAA
Molecule: ribosomal RNA, 438 nt
Filed under: uncultured marine bacterium
Lineage: Bacteria
Description: bacterial SSU rRNA
Rfam family: Bacterial small subunit ribosomal RNA
Source: RNAcentral